UGGUGGAACCACCAAUUAAUAUGGAGAACUAGGCCAUCUGGGCCAAGUUCCCCAGGCAUGGAGACGCGGAGGGGAGGGGACAAAAGUCUCUCACAAGUCGCCACUAGGAAAGAGGGUGGCAGAGCAGAGAGCCCUUCAAAAGUUCAGCUGUGCUGGGCGUCUGAUCUUCCUUCCAAGACCGCUCGCCAGGGAGCCCCGCGGGUUUCAGCUUCCACUCAAAAAUGAGAAAACAGGGCCACAGCAAAAGAGACCUGCCUAAGUUCACAGACCAUGGCAAUGUCUGGAACCCAGGACUCCACUCCCAGUUCAAUCCUUCUCCCAACCCGAAUUCGUCCUGAGAGUUCAUAAAGAUGUGUUCCUGGAAUGUCUUCACCAGAUGUUUACCCAAGAAAUUACAGUCGCAGAGUCUUCAACAUGUGCGUGCAUUUUGAUAGCAGCAUUUAAGAUCUGAACUCAAUUAAUGAUUUUCUUGUCCUUCUUUUAUUAAAAAAAUGAAAGGGUGGGGGCAUGUUAGUUUUGCCUGCAAGUGAGUCUUUACCGAGUCUGCGUUAACGUCACUCACUCACUCUGCGACGUGCUAGUCUCACAGUCUAGUUUUGUUCAGACUUUAUUUUGCUCCAAGCUGCCUUACAAGCCACUUGUCCACGCUGCAAAAGGUGGGGGUAGUGGUAGGGGUGAGGGGCUCUUUGGCUCUUUUUUCCCCCGGUUCCUAUAUGUGAUGCAAUCUGGAAUCAUUUCACUUGGCCCUCCGCGCGCGCAGAGACGCGCGCGCGCACACACGCACACACGUGUACCAUGCAUGUGUGGGCCCCUAUAGAACGGUGUAGACGCGCGUUUGUGAUUUAAAGUGGCAGGACCGAGA
Non-coding RNA from Odocoileus virginianus texanus, 862 nucleotides. The record is from RefSeq and is a predicted model, not a curated record. Lineage: Eukaryota; Metazoa; Chordata; Mammalia; Artiodactyla; Cervidae.